CCCCCCCCCCCGCAGGGCAGACCCACCCCUUCUCCUCCUCUUCCUCCCCACUCUUCUCCUCCCUUCCCCCUCCCUCUUCGUCCUACCCCUUCCCCCAUCUCCCCCUCCUCUUUUUCCUCCUCUCCCUUCUCUUCUUCCUCCUCCUCCUCUUCCUCUUCUUCUUCCCCCUCCUCCUUUUCCUCCUCCUGGCCCAUCCUGGGCCAAGUGGUCCUGCCGCUGGUGUGCCGCCAGGAGCCUCCUUAGCUGCCUUCCCCGGUGCCCACACUGACCAUCUGUCAACUUCAUUUAGACAUUGCAGCCCUCAGCCACACGCCAGGGUGCCAGACGCCCAAAGGGGUGCUGGGCGUCGACCCAGGUCACAGAGUUGGUGACAUCCCUGACGAGCUGCUUUGUGGUCUAAUCCGGCCUUCAGGAAGCAGGGUAAUAUACAUGGAAUCAGACAGAUGUAAUCUUCUGGGACUGGCUCCCUUCACUCAGCCCGAUGUUUUGGAGGGUCCCUGUGUGGCUGAGCUUGGUGACUUGUGCUUCGGUCUCACUGAGUGACCAUCCCUCUGCUGCUUGUUUGUCCCUCAGAGAAGGAGAGCUGCACUGACUGCCUGACCCCCCCAUUCAGACUUCACCCAGCUUCCCCGUCUCCCAUAUCCUCCUACUGGGCCCUGUGUAUGUCAUAGAGGAAGGUCUCUAAGAGGAGACUUGCUCACAAGGGAAAGGGGUGCGAGCAUGAACGCCUUCUUGGCUGCCCUGCACCAGGCCUGGGCCGACCUCGCAGGCUGGUGAGGAGAUUACCAACACAGGGACGUGACUCAUGUCGGCAAAGUAGGAUUUGAUUGGAAGGAUUUUCCCGGAAAGGAGAAGAGCUGGGGCAGCUCCAGGGGUCCCACAGGAGGAGCUAAUGGACUUCUUCAUUGGGCACCAGGGACAAAUCAGCUCAGCUGGUGUUUGGCCCUGAGUCCCACUGCUCCAGAGUGGGAGUCUUGGGGAAGAGAAGGCCUGGCCUGCCUCAGGUGGGAGAGGGUAACCCGCAGAGUGGUACCCUGCAGAGAGAGGCGGCUCCACCAGAGCGGUCAGGUGCUGGGACCAGGGGAAGGGGCAGACGCUGGGAUGGCAGGUCAAAGUUUGACUCCUCCAGAAAAAUACCAGCUCCCCCAAAUGAGGGUGGGUCUAUCUGCAGGGGUCAUGUAACCCUGAUCAUUCAUGCUUUUCCUGGGCCUGAGAGUGGAUCUGGAAUACACUGUAUUAAAUAAUAAUAUUUAUUACUAUUUGGGUUGGUAUUUUCAGGGCUUUUCUCUAGUUUCUAGAUUUGCCCUCCUUUAGUGUUCCCACAUUUAUUUUAUUUUUGUAUUUAAUGUUAGUAUUUUCAUGUUAUAUUUGUACACACACAUGCAUGAUUGUUUCCAUGCCUUGAGUCCCUUGGUGCUAGUUGCAUUUUUAGGUUAUAUCAACUCUGCUACCCUGAGAAUCACGCUUGGCAUCUUCAGACUUUGUUUUUAAACCAACAAAUGAAGGACUGAUCUGCUCCUCUCAUCCCAGGGUCAGAGCACUGGCCUGGGAGCCAUCACUGGAGCCAGGAAAGCAGCCCUCGAUGCCUUGCUUAGGAUGAAACUUCUGGAAAACAGCCCAAUCUCCCUCAGCCUUGGUUUCCUGUCUGUGAAAUAAGCAUGCUGGUGUUCUACACCUAAUUCCAAAAGCUGAGAUUUUGUGCAAAAUUUCAGUUGUUGAAAACACACUGGGGGAAAAUGUGAUUGGAUGUACAUGCUGUGAUCCUUUAGAAUAACAAGUUGUGUGUAUCACUGUACCCUGAUGGUCUCCAAUAUGUUUUGUUGUGUCUCUGAGUAUUGUAAUUAUGUUAAUAAUGCUAUAAUGAAACUUAUCCAUGAAAUACACACUUGAUCCCCAGUUGAUUGAGUCUAGGGGAAAGAAAGCGCAUCCA
Equus asinus (donkey) is the source of this 1930-nucleotide long non-coding RNA. The record is from Ensembl. Lineage: Eukaryota; Metazoa; Chordata; Mammalia; Perissodactyla; Equidae.